UGGGGAAUAUUGCACAAUGGGGGGAACCCUGAUGCAGCAAUGCCGCGUGGGUGAAGAAGUACCCCGGUACGUAAAGCCCUAUCAGCAGGGAAGAUAAUGACAGUACCUGGUUAAGAAGCCCCGGCUAACUACGUGCCAGCAGCCGCGGUAAUACGUAGGGGGCGAGCGUUAUCCGGAUUUACUGGGUGUAAAGGGAGCGCAGGCGGCGUGGCAAGUCAGAUGUGAAAACCCGGGGCCCAACCCCGGGACUGCAUUUGAAACUGCCAUGCUGGAGUGCCGGAGAGGCAAGUGGAAUUCCUAGUGUAGCGGUGAAAUGCGUAGAUAUUAGGAAGAACACCAGUGGCGGAGGCGGCUUGCUGGACGGUAACUGACGCUGAGGCUCGAAAGCGUGGGGAGCAAACAGG
Molecule: ribosomal RNA, 404 nt
Filed under: uncultured bacterium
Lineage: Bacteria
Description: bacterial SSU rRNA
Rfam family: Bacterial small subunit ribosomal RNA
Source: RNAcentral